GUAGUCCACGCCCUAAACGAUGUCUACUAGUUGUUGGGUCUUAAUUGACUUAGUAACGCAGCUAACGCGUGAAGUAGACCGCCUGGGGAGUACGGUCGCAAGAUUAAAACUCAAAGGAAUUGACGGGGACCCGCACAAGCGGUGGAUGAUGUGGAUUAAUUCGAUGCAACGCGAAAAACCUUACCUACCCUUGACAUGGCAGGAAUCCCGGAGAGAUCCGGGGGUGCUCGAAAGAGAACCUGCACACAGGUGCUGCAUGGCUGUCGUCAGCUCGUGUCGUGAGAUGUUGGGUUAAGUCCCGCAACGAGCGCAACCCUUGUCAUUAGUUGCUACGCAAGAGCACUCUAAUGAGACUGCCGGUGACAAACCGGAGGAAGGUGGGGAUGACGUCAAGUCCUCAUGGCCCUUAUGGGUAGGGCUUCACACGUCAUACAAUGGUACAUACAGAGGGCCGCCAACCCGCGAGGGGGAGCUAAUCCCAGAAAGUGUAUCGUAGUCCGGAUUGUAGUCUGCAACUCGACUACAUGAAGUUGGAAUCGCUAGUAAUCGCGGAUCAGCAUGUCGCGGUGAAUA
RNAcentral lists this ribosomal RNA (573 nucleotides) under uncultured Duganella sp. RNAcentral's name for it is "bacterial SSU rRNA". It matches the Rfam family "Bacterial small subunit ribosomal RNA", at positions 790 to 1368 of the family's 1533-position model. Lineage: Bacteria; Pseudomonadati; Pseudomonadota; Betaproteobacteria; Burkholderiales; Oxalobacteraceae. The record is from RNAcentral.